Perognathus longimembris pacificus (Pacific pocket mouse) is the source of this 247-nucleotide long non-coding RNA. RefSeq lists it as uncharacterized. The transcript is spliced from 3 exons. The record is from RefSeq and is a predicted model, not a curated record. NCBI's taxonomy places the organism in Eukaryota, Metazoa, Chordata, Mammalia, Rodentia, Heteromyidae.
UUAGCUUAGUAAUUCUAACUUGCAUUUUGGGAAAAAAACUUAAUUAUUACUAAAUUCUAGUAAAAUUACAUAAAGAACUGUAGAAUUCCAGAGCAACCAAAUUAUGAUAUAAAUCUUACUAAUAUAGUAUAUUCUAGAUUUGGGGUUAAUUUAGAACUGACACAUUUUCCUACAAGAAACAAUUAAGGAAAUGUAAAACAGCGCUGGGAAUAUGGCCUAGUGGCAAGAGUGCUUGCCUCCUACACAU